Molecule: small RNA, 166 nt
Filed under: Intrasporangium calvum
Lineage: Bacteria; Bacillati; Actinomycetota; Actinomycetes; Micrococcales; Intrasporangiaceae
Also listed under: 1 other name
Description: c-di-AMP sequence
Rfam family: c-di-AMP riboswitch aptamer (ydaO/yuaA leader)
About the family: This family represents a conserved RNA structure found upstream of the ydaO and yuaA genes in Bacillus subtilis and related genes in other bacteria. The ydaO/yuaA element is thought to act as a genetic "off" switch for the ydaO and yuaA genes in its native state.
Source: RNAcentral
GGUCGUCUGACACCGCAUGGCAGGAGCGGGGGAACCAUUCUCCGGGCGUCGAGAGACGCCCUUGGGGUCAAGUCCUCCCGAGGACCUUCGGGUCCGAGCGAGGGCCGGGUAGUACCUCCCACCCGAACCCGACAGCUCACCUCGCAGGCGUCGAGAGGUAGCACGU